AUAUGGUUGCACUACCCAUAAAAUACCUUCUAAUAUGCCACAUUACAAAUUUUAACUAGUAAGACUGUUGUACCAUGGAGUGAGGCCAAGACUCCCUCUUGGUUUAAUAUCUAGCAAGGUUUUUUCCUCAAACAAGCACAAUAAUGGUUUUGCAAGUCAGUCUUUGUAUUUCUGGGUCAGCUGCUUGCUGUAUGGCAUUUGUGAAGAGGACUUUGUAUCUGUGCAGCCUAGACAGAAAAAGAUAAUGAUCCUCUCUUCUCUAUCUCUCUGAGGCAUUUUAAGUUAUUUAUAUCAAAAAUUUCCUAGCAGCAGACAGACACAGCAGAACUGGAGCACAGCACACUUUGUGAUUGUGUAGGUUUUAGCUAUGUUCAAAUCACCUGCAACAUAACUAAAGGAUAAAGAUUUAAGGAAGUUCUCUGGGCUGGGCACAUGUAAAACUGUGACCAAGUAGACCAAGACUGUGUUAAUAUCUUAGUCUCUCCAUCUCCUCUUUUUCAAUCUUCUAGGCCCUUUGACUGUAUCCCUGUACAUAGUACUUGUUUGUCAUCCCUCACUUGUUGUGAAAUUUUGUACAAAGAUUACCCAGGUAUGAUGUAUCAGUCUCUUCCCAGGCACCUGAUACAGCCUCAUCCUCUCCUGAUAAAUGGCAACCUUUGCUCAAUAUGUCUACUGUCCUUAAUUUGGGAAUAGAUGAACACUUCAAUAUUUAAGAUGGAAAUGUCUGUAAAUGUGUUCUGUCUUCAAGGCACAUGGUUCUAAUUUUGAUAGUAGAUUUCUUCUGAUGAGUGCUAAUGUUCCUUAAUGUUCCUCAUUAACCUGUAAUUCAAGGGCAAUUUCUUAGCAUUGAUUACUACUUUCUUAAGGGCUAGGGGUGUGGCUCAGUGGUAAAACAUUUGCCUCACAUGUGUGAGGCACUGGAUUUAAUUCUCAGCACCGCAUAUAAAUAAAUGAAUGAAAUAAAGUUCCAUCAACAACUAAAAAUAUAUAUUUAAAAAAAUACCUUCUUAAACUCUUUCUUCUCCAUUACUCUGUAAGAACGCAGGUCUUCUUCCUAUCAGUGAGUGUCCUCUGUGCCUCCCUACAUUCCUUGGUCUCUCUCAUUUCACUGUCUCAAUCUGCUUUUUCCUCUCCUUCACCUUUAGGUACCCUACACCCUAUAAUCCUGCCUGAAAACCUUUAGUAGGAAGCCAUAUCCCCACCUUUAGAAGGGGUCUAGAAUUAACUUUAUUGUCUUAAUGUGGGUAGCUGCUGUUAACCCAUAUGUUUAGCCUCCACUCAGGUUUAUAUUAUAGAGAAGUGCAGUUUGUGGACUGUCUGGUAUCAGUCUGUAAAAUAUUUGUAGCUGGAUCUUGAGGAGAGAAGUAUAGACAUUGAAAGUCAAUAUGCCUCUAUCUGGCAUUUCUUCAGGCUCUGGAAUUUAUUGCCACAAGACCAAAUCUCUUCUACUUGCUCUUCAUAUUGAAGAACUUAAUGCAAUGAUGUAUAUGUGUUUAAAAAUGAAACAAAUGUUAACUAUCUAGAAUGGAGAAUUCAAAAUGACAUGAUCAAUGGUACUGAUAGAUUAUAUUAUUUAUUCCUAGUUAUUUGAUUCCUCCCCUUCAUUGUGAUGCAUUGUUGAAGGCAUGAUAAAUUCCUUACCCCUCUAACCUAGAAUUUGGCCAUAUGACUCACUUUUGUCUAUGGAUAUGACUGUCAUAAAAUCCAAGCUGAAACUUUAAAUGUGCUUCUGUGACUUGUCUUUACCUCCC
This 1751-nucleotide long non-coding RNA is filed under the name Marmota monax (woodchuck). The record is from RNAcentral. Lineage: Eukaryota; Metazoa; Chordata; Mammalia; Rodentia; Sciuridae.